UCCUAAAACGACUGNGCGAUGUAUAUNCCUCUUAGCUUGUAAGCCGGUUUGGUAUUUCUAGAGNCUCAACGCCUGAGACCGCUUCGNAUUUUUAACNAGAGCCUAGAUACAUGGCCANAGUACGAAUCGGAAUGNGAUGUACAUGCAGCGAUGGCACCUUCAUGGACAGGGUGAUGCCGCGUAGGACGAGUGNGAGUACACAACCGGAGGCGUAACACUGGACGCAUAGGACCUGGGAUAUCCGGGGAAGACCGGGGUGCAUAUAAUNCACGGUAUAACCAUCUAAGCCAUCUAGUCAAUGUGUGUGGCGAAUAAAUUGCCNAAGGACGACCUUUUCGGGCCUAGAUCACCCUUUAAUUNGCAAUUGUGAAUACCUCGACGUUUCCGACUGAUUAUUAGACAAAAUACUUGGAAAAGNAGAAGCUAAAUCNGAGGGUCCAAAGNCUACAGUGUCCAUAACCGGAAUGGCGGUACGCCAGCGGAAGCCCCUCGAAUAGCAAAGGGGCGGUAAGGAAUUNCGGGGGUCGCCAANCGGAUNCANAGCGGGGAACCUUCGACGCAAAACAANGGGGGACCNCAAANAAGCCUGACUAAUACCCGAGGAGGACCGAGGCCACAGAACNGAGGAGGUAAGANGUCCAAGCAGGUCCCUAUUCUCCCCGUCGAGAANAAGCGAAGCAAGAAAAACNAAGCUCGUUCGCACCCAGGGACACGCUUCCCCNUCAGUCUCGGGCAGUGGCACACGGUCGCAUUUGACANAGGGGGACCCAUUUUCCACCAGCGCCGAUUCCCAGUUAAAGGAGAAGCCCUGAACCAAAGGCGACCGGUAGGAAAGGGGGGGAAAGACCGAAAAAACCGNACCACCGGUUAGGCUUAGAACAGCGUUUUGCAAACAGGUAAAAGGGGCUUAAAGGUGGAUCCCAACGCCACAUUUCNUGGACCAGGGAAAAACUCCCCUAAGACCUCCGGAGAAAACAAGAGGGGCCCACGCCAGAGCCCNUAAAAGAUUCNUACAAACGGUUAGAGCCCAAACAACCNAGNNGCCCCGGGCUGGAGGCNCANUAUUAAACCCNGGUUGAAUAGACUCUGGAGAUCACACUAAUGGACAGCAUAUAAAAGUUCCCCGACGGGAGAAGUUAAAAAUUCUGGAGGGGCUAGNUAACCAAGGAGCCCAGACCGCCCGGGCCCGANGGGGAAAGGCGACUCAUCAACNCAAGCUAGGGUUCCAGACCCGUGGUUAGGAAAUCCCGCNGCCCCACAUUGAGGUUUUGCACACACCCCCGNAAANANCGGGCGNUCCCAGCCAAGGGGGAACAGUCUCUGGUGCAACAACUCUUUUGGACUUUGGNCGCAACAAGANACACGNACAACAAGGUGUGGACAACCUGCCANUGAAAUGGGAU
This 1403-nucleotide ribosomal RNA is filed under the name uncultured bacterium. RNAcentral describes it as "partial 16S ribosomal RNA". The record is from RNAcentral.